This 492-nucleotide ribosomal RNA is filed under the name uncultured bacterium. RNAcentral describes it as "partial 16S ribosomal RNA". It matches the Rfam family "Bacterial small subunit ribosomal RNA", at positions 29 to 507 of the family's 1533-position model. The record is from RNAcentral.
AGUGAACGCUGGCGGUAGGCCUAACACAUGCAAGUCGAACGGCAGCACAGUAAGAGUUUGCUCUUACGGGUGGCGAGUGGCGGACGGGUGAGGAAUACAUCGGAAUCUACUUUUUCGUGGGGGAUAACGUAGGGAAACUUACGCUAAUACCGCAUACGACCUACGGGUGAAAGCAGGGGAUCUUCGGACCUUUCGCGAUUGAAUGAGCCGAUGUCGGAUUAGCUAGGUGGCGUGGUAAAGGCCCACCAAGGCGACGAUCCGUCGCUGGUCUGAGCGGAUGAUCAGCCACACUGGAACUGAGACACGGUCCAGACUCCUACGGGAGGCAGCAGUGGGGAAUAUUGGACAAUGGGCGCAAGCCUGAUCCAGCCAUACCGCGUGGGUGAAGAAGGCCUUCGGGUUGUAAAGCCCUUUUGUUGGGAAAGAAAAGCAGCAGGUUAAUACCCCGCUGUUCUGACGGUACCCAAAGAAUAAGCACCGGCUAACUUCGUG